AAAAAGGUAAGCUAAAAUAAGCUAUUAGGCCCAUAACCUAAAUAUAGAAUUAACUUUCUCCUUUUUA
Molecule: transfer RNA, 67 nt
Filed under: Antialcidas floripennae
Lineage: Eukaryota; Metazoa; Arthropoda; Insecta; Hemiptera; Membracidae
Description: tRNA-Met
Source: RNAcentral